UACGAAGGUGGCAAGCGUUGUUCGGAUUUACUGGGCGUACAGGGAGCGUAGGCGGUUGGGUAAGCCCUCCGUGAAAUCUCCGGGCCCAACCCGGAAAGUGCGGAGGGGACUGCUCGGCUAGAGGAUGGGAGAGGAGCGCGGAAUUCCCGGUGUAGCGGUGAAAUGCGUAGAGAUCGGGAGGAAGGCCGGUGGCGAAGGCGGCGCUCUGGAACAUUGCUGACGAUGAGGCUCGAAAGAGUGGGGAGCAAACAGG
Molecule: ribosomal RNA, 253 nt
Filed under: uncultured bacterium
Lineage: Bacteria
Description: partial 16S ribosomal RNA
Rfam family: Bacterial small subunit ribosomal RNA
Source: RNAcentral